RNAcentral lists this ribosomal RNA (395 nucleotides) under uncultured bacterium. RNAcentral's name for it is "partial 16S ribosomal RNA". It matches the Rfam family "Bacterial small subunit ribosomal RNA", at positions 338 to 730 of the family's 1533-position model. The record is from RNAcentral.
CCUACGGGGGGCAGCAGUGAGGAAUAUUGGUCAAUGGCCGUAAGGCUGAACCAGCCAAGCCGCGUGAAGGAAGAAGGAACUAUGGUUUGUAAACUUCUUUUAUAGGGGAAUAAAGGUAUCCACGUGUGGAUAUUUGCAUGUACCCUAUGAAUAAGCAUCGGCUAACUCCGUGCCAGCAGCCGCGGUAAUACGGAGGAUGCGAGCGUUAUCCGGAUUUAUUGGGUUGAAAGGGUGCGGCGGUUGUUUUUUAAGUCAGCGGUGAAAGUUUGUGGCUCAACCAUAACAUUGCCGUUGAAACUGGAAGACUUGAGUUUGUUUGAGGUAUGCGGAAUGCGAGGUGUAGCGGUGAAAUGCAUAGAUAUCACGCAGAACUCCGAUUGCGAAGGCAGCUUACU